Molecule: long non-coding RNA, 4017 nt
Organism: Gasterosteus aculeatus aculeatus (three-spined stickleback)
Lineage: Eukaryota; Metazoa; Chordata; Actinopteri; Perciformes; Gasterosteidae
Source: Ensembl
AAUUAAUCACAGGAGGAACUCUGCAGCUUCACUGUACAGAAGAACUAUUUGCUCAAGUAAAUAAGUUACAGAGGUUUUACUGGGCUCCAUGUACAAGUACACACACACAUCUAUUUUUCAAAUAAAUAUUGGAGCUAUACAUUGUGACAGGCAAUCUUGGACACAAGGAGUGAAGGAAAUGCAGCGACACUUUGCUGUGUGCAUCUUAGUCCUUCUGCCUUUGGGUCUUACUGCUACUACUCAUUCUACGACUAAUAAAACAUUGGGGAGAUUUUCCAACGACUUUCUCGUUGUUUGAUGACCUCUAGGUCAAAGCUGGAAAAUAACUUUCCACUAGCUGUAGUCUAUUCUAUUUCAAUUCAGCUUCCUCUAAAAUAACAAUGUUACUAUUUAAAAUGUGAGAAUAGUAGAAUGUCAUGAAAGGAUGAUGGAUUGACUCCAUAUGUGAACAACGGGUUCUUUCUUCAGUUUGCGACACAGUAUGAUUGCACGGGCCGAAAUGAAUUUCAUGCCUCCCAUUUAUUGCGUCUCUCUGUAUGAAUGUGCCGGGAUGCCUUAAACAAUAAAUACAGUAGUUUCUCACAAACUGGCUUCAUAUUAGGGCUAAAGGGGGGAAAAAUAACCGUGGAGAGUAAAGUAAUUACCUUUCAGGGAUGAGUAUGAGAAGUCUGAAAGUAUUUGUAGUUGUAACUCCUGGUGUGUGUGUGUGUGUGUGUGCGAUGCAUUGGGCAUUUUAUUCUUUGCAGAAAUAAUGUCUGCUACACAGAUCUUAACCAGAUUGGGGACUGAAGGGAUGAACUGCUUCAGCAUCUCUCCCUCCCACCUCUAAAUACAUAUAAAGGAAAGGUUCUUUGGAAAAAAAGGAUAAUAGGUUCUCUUUUGCGUUUGUCAUUUGUCACAAAGCUUAGUUAAUGCUUUUUAAUUGCCCACUAUUUGCUGACAUUGUGCUUUAGUUUACUGUGUGGUACAGUGAGAGGGUGAUGCCUCUUUCAUCGGGACGAGCACGUGGAGGAGACGGGCGAUAAUUCUUCGGUCUGUUGAUUACAGUAAUCGAUGUUACGUUUAAGACAAAGUGGUUACCGGCUGGUGAGUGAUUUGAUUCUCAAAGAUUGGCAGGUGGAGCUGUGCGUGCCGCACGUAGACGGAGAAGGGUUGUGUAUCACAACAUCAUCAAGUGGUUCUACUCCACUAAACCGCGUCAUUCAAAAAAACAGGAAGAUGAAUACAUAUAAUAUAUGUUACAACUUUAAAAUUUAAACUUUCCUCUGUGCGACGCGGAUGUUGAGGCUUUGCAUUCACUUGAGAAAUUAAUUUGCACCUGAUUUUCUGCCUCAGCGCUAUUAUGAAGUCCAUGUUAAGAAUACCGACAACUAUCUUCUCUUGCUUCAAAUCAACAGCAUGAAUAUCUUAGAAUUCAGAGAAAAAAAUGUAAUUUGAAAACAAUGGGGGGUAUGUUGCAGAAUUCAAAUCAAAACAUGAGAGAUUAUAGUCACGCUAAUUUGGAAGGCGGGGCAAAUAUCUUUUCUUUAAUUUAAUUGCUAUUGAGACCAACAGACAUGACAAGACAAGAGAACAAAACUCUACCUUCACUUACUUCUUUCCAGAAGUUCUACCUUUCGUCUGGAGACUGAAUAAAACCAGGAGAUGUAAGGCAGAGUUUGUGCGAUAGCUAACUGGAGCAAAGCCGGGCGAAGCCGGCCCGGUACCUGUAAUCCCUCCGAGCUAAUAAAGGUUAAUCUGCUGAAGAUAUGAAGAUUUCAAGAUAGUUUGUUUUAGUUCUGUUUGUACAAACAGCCCUUUAAUCAAAAUGUCGAAGAAUGGACCGUGUCACUGAGUCUUAGAGCAGCUUUUCAAAAAGUAGGAAAAAGUCACGUGUAACGAAAUAUACUUUUUAAAAUAUGUUUUACUUACUGUGAACAUAAUCGGAAGCUAAUUUGGAAAUAGUAGUCAUCACAGCAGAUAUCACAAGCAGACAUCUCUCAUUUUAAAGCUCCAUGAUAAGAACCAAUAAAAAGUUGGCUGAGCAGAAAUUCAAAUUCCAACAAUAUGAUAGUGUCGGUACAAUGAGCCACGCCAUUACAGUCUGCUGAAGGGUUGCGUUUUUUAACUCACUUGCUGGUCCUCCAUUGUCUGCAGCAAGAAUUUAAAUAAGGUGUUUUGCUUGCUGGAGGAGAGCAACACGUUAGAACAUUGAUAAUGGAUACGAGGCACAUGUUCUUUUUAUUGUUAAUACAUAUGAUCCCUCUGUAAAAAUGGUGUUUUAAAUAGUAUCGACUAAAAAAUGCAUUUAAAUGAAAUCAUUUUGAGAGCAGAGGGGAGGGCCGUCUGGAAUACUAGUUGAAACCUUUUUAGGUUCAUAACAAGCACAUAUUCUGUUCCCUUGGAAGAACCCAUCCUGCAUCGAGUGUGUAGCCAGGUAGCUAUUUGGAGUCCGUCGCUUGUAACUUUGACAUUUAAUGUCAGAAAAGUGAAACGUGCCAGUCGAGAGGAGCACGAAGGCGUGCAGUGCGCGAGCUCCCUGCAUGUCGUUUCACCCCGACUCUUCACCGUCCACCGCGCCCUCGCUCUCUCUCUCUCUCUCUCUAACAAGCCGUCCCAGAUGUGCUGACAUGCAGUUCACCUUCGGCGCCGGAGGAGCAGGGAAGGGAAAAGACCUUUGAAGUGAAACGGAUCCCCAUCAGUAAGCUGCAAGUCGCAGCUUAAAGCUCUAAGAUGGAAAGAGACAGCAGUUCGGCACACGAUUGAAGGGACGGGAAGAUGGACUUCAGCCGCACAGAGAGGACAAAUCAAAAGACACACUGUGCAGAGUGACACCGCCCUCGCCCGCGUUACUUACAUCCAACUGACACGUCGACUCACAGACUGCAAACGAGCAGGAGAUGAGGUUUCGACCCAAUGAGUCACAUCUCGUCUGGCUCCGUGUUAUACAUAAAGAUGACGGGCAGUGUGUGUGUGUGUGUGUGUGUGUUCUGAACCGGCAUGUGCUCAUCAGUGUCAGGGCUUCGUCCCGCCGAAUGUUUACGUAUUUCAAUACGUUAAAAUCUUGUUUUGCACGAAUAGAUUUAGCAUUGAUAUUAUUGUAGAAAGAAACAUUUACAUUUUUAUUUAAGUGUCAGACGUGCAAUUAUGGUUAAAAGAAAGGUUAUUAUGUAGAGUAAAAAUGGAAAAAAUGUGUGCAGAAACCAAUCAGUACAAAGAAAAUGCAAGCGCACAACAAUGCUUUUUCCACUGAGUAGGUGACAAAACAAGUGGAGAGAGUGCAGCAAAAGAAGAAUCACAGAUCGACUUCGACAUCCCUCGAACCACGCUGCUGGCCUGAUUUAGAAACAAGCUUCCUUCGCAGGUGUCCGUGCUCCUGCUUCAGGUAAAGAAGUGCUCCAUGCAGCCUGGAGGCAGAGCCACAACACGCUCCAGGGGUCACGCUUCUCAAAUGCCUUUGGAGGAGGAGGUGACCGGAGGAAAGACGUAAGGAUGUACGGGUUGCCUAGCUUGACCCCGAUGAACAGCGAGAGAUCGUGCGGCUGGGUGGUGAGAGCUACAAUAAGACACUAUUGUUAAUGUACUGCAGGCAUUCGCCUUAUUGGAGCGAGGACCAACUGAAAGGCAUCAUUUACUUCCACCAGAUGAGGUUUUUUUUUUUCAAUCUAUGUAAAAUGUUAUGUAAAAUUGUAAUUCUACCCACUCUUCAGAAAGCGAGAUAUUUAUCUCGUCUUUUCCACAACACUGAACAAUAGCUGCGUUGCUGAAUUAUGUAUUUUUUCAACACGAGCGGAGGCAUUUCAAUGUCGUUGUUUUUUUGGACCGUGCCGAUCCAGCUGCUUGCCAUUAAAACGUAUGAGAAGGCAGAAGAAAGCUCAGAAGACGAGGAGUGAAUGGAUGGUGAGGCAGGAAGUAGAAAGGUACAGAAAAAGAGGGAGUGGGAGGAUGAGAGGGGAAGUGGAUGGAUGUUAUUGAACAAUCCCAAUAUAUCUGUCUCUCUGCAAUAUAACACCAUUUUCCGAAUAAAAUCUUUCUUCU